Non-coding RNA from Ciona savignyi (Pacific transparent sea squirt), 74 nucleotides. NCBI's taxonomy places the organism in Eukaryota, Metazoa, Chordata, Ascidiacea, Phlebobranchia, Cionidae. The record is from Rfam.
GGCCGGUUAGCUCAGUUGGCUAGAGCGUCGUGCUAAUAACGCGAAUGUCGUGGGUUCGAUCCCCGUACAGGACA